CCUACGGGUGGCAGCAGUGAGGCAUAUUGGUCAAUGGGCGCGAGCCUGAACCAGCCAAGUAGCGUGAAGGAUGACUGCCCUACGGGUUGUAGACUUCUUUUAUAAAGGAAUAAAGUGAGGCACUUGUACCUUUUUGUAUGUACUUUAUGAAUAAGGUUCGGCUAACUCCGUGCCAGCAGCCGCGGUAAUACGGAGGAUCCGAGCGUUAGCCGGAUUUAUUGGGUUUAAAGGGAGCGUAGAUGGGUUGUUAAGUCAGUUGUGAAAGUGUGCGGCUCAACCGUACAAUUGAAAUUGAUACUGGCAGUCUUGAGUACAGUUGAGGUAGGCGGAAUUCGUGGUGUAGCGGUGAAAUGCUUAGAUAUCACGAAGAACUACGAUUGCGAAGGCAGCUUACUAAACUGCCACUGACAUUGAUGCUAGAAAGUGUGGGUAUCAAACAGGAGUAGAUACCCGGGUAGUC
RNAcentral lists this ribosomal RNA (460 nucleotides) under uncultured bacterium. Its description in RNAcentral is "partial 16S ribosomal RNA". It matches the Rfam family "Bacterial small subunit ribosomal RNA", at positions 338 to 795 of the family's 1533-position model. The record is from RNAcentral.